CGAAGAGGACGACCUUCCCCAAAAAGAGGAGGACUGGUCUUCGGUCAAGGGUAUACGAGUAGCUGCGCUCCCCUGCUAGAACCUCCAAACAAGCUCUCAAGGCCCAGAUC
Non-coding RNA from Mus caroli (Ryukyu mouse), 110 nucleotides. Lineage: Eukaryota; Metazoa; Chordata; Mammalia; Rodentia; Muridae. The record is from RefSeq and is a predicted model, not a curated record.